CCGAAAAGGUAUCACAUGCCA
RNAcentral lists this non-coding RNA (21 nucleotides) under Arabidopsis thaliana (thale cress). The record is from RNAcentral. Lineage: Eukaryota; Viridiplantae; Streptophyta; Magnoliopsida; Brassicales; Brassicaceae.